CAACGCCGCGUGGGGGACGAAGGCCUUCUGGGUUGUAAACCCCUUUCAGCAGGGACGAUGAUGACGGUACCUGCAGAAGAAGCCCCGGCCAACUACGUGC
RNAcentral lists this ribosomal RNA (100 nucleotides) under uncultured bacterium. RNAcentral describes it as "partial 16S ribosomal RNA". It matches the Rfam family "Bacterial small subunit ribosomal RNA", at positions 392 to 508 of the family's 1533-position model. The record is from RNAcentral.